CUAGUUGGCGAGGUAACGGCUCACCAAGGCAACGACGGGUAGCUGGUCUGAGAGGAUGGCCAGCCACAUUGGGACUGAGAUACGGCCCAGACUCCUACGGGAGGCAGCAGUGGGGAAUCUUGCGCAAUGGCCUAACGGCUGACGCAGCGACGCCGCGUGUGGGAUGAAGCUCCUCGGAGUGUAAACCACUGUUGCCCGGGACGAAUAGCUCGAUUAAUCGAGCCUGACGGUACCGGGUGAGGAAGCACCGGCUAACUCCGUGCCAGCAGCCGCGGUAAUACGGGGGGUGCGAGCGUUGUCCGGAAUCACUGGGCGUAAAGGGCGCGUAGGUGGUUUGAUAAGGGUGUGGUGAAAGUCCGGGGCUCAACCCCGGAUCUGCCGUGCCGACUGUCAAACUCGAGGGCUGUAGAGGCAGACGGAAUUCCGGGUGUAGCGGUGGAAUGCGUAGAGAUCCGGAGGAAGACCGGUGGCGAAGGCGGUCUGCUGGGCAGUUUCUGACACUGAUGCGCGACAGCGUGGGGAGCAAACAGGAUUAGAUACCCUGGUAGUCCACGCCGUAAACGAUGGGUACUAGGUGCCUGGGGGAGCGACCCUCUGGGUGCCGGCGCUAACGCAGGAAGUACCCCGCCUGGGGAGUACGACCGCAAGGUUGAAACUCAAAGGAAUUGACG
Molecule: ribosomal RNA, 671 nt
Filed under: uncultured Gammaproteobacteria bacterium
Lineage: Bacteria; Pseudomonadati; Pseudomonadota; Gammaproteobacteria
Also listed under: 1 other name
Description: SSU rRNA
Rfam family: Bacterial small subunit ribosomal RNA
Source: RNAcentral